CGCCCCUCAGGUGAGCCCAGGCGGUAUAAAGCCCCGGGGCCGGCUGGGAGCACUGGCGGGGCGAACAUGGGCAACAGGGUCACCCGCGGGGACUUCGAGUGGGUUUACACGGAGCAGCCCCACACGCAGCGGCGGCGGGAGAUCCUAGCAAAUAUCCAACAAUUAAAUCUCUAAUGGGACCAGAUCCCACUUAAAAUGGAUUGUGGUCGGAAAUGGUGUUGACACAGCUUCUAGUUUUGCUACUUGGUGAAAGAUUUAUCUUGGAAAAUGGAUUUUCUUUUGGGCUUAUGCUUUUGGGGGCUGCAUCAAUCACUCAAUGGCGCUAGCAUCCAUGAUAUUUCACACAUGUUGCCUUGGGUAACAAGCAGCUAAGUGGAAUAGAUGGUUUGCAGUGUUUGCCAACCUGCCAAUUGGACUUCCUUACUCCGCCUCCUUCAAGAAAUACCACAUUGACCAUCAUCGAUACCUUGGUGGAGACACUUUGGAUGUGGAUGUUCCACUGACUUCGAAGGCUGGUUCUUUUGCACUCCGUUCGGAAAUUUAUUUUGCUCAUCCUCCAACCAUUCUUCUAUGGCCUGAGACCUCUUUAUGUGGAACCCCAAAACAGUUACUCAGAUGGAAAUAUUUAAUGCCCUGGUACAAUUCUCUGUUGAUUUUAUAAUCUACUACCUAUGGGGCCUGAAGCCUAUUGUUAUUUAUAUCAGGCACGUUACUUUGCAUGGGUUUGCAUCCUAUUGCCGGUCACUUCAUAGCAGAACAUUACAUGUUCUUAAAGGCUAUGAACCUAUUCUUAUUAUGGACCUCUCAACUGGAUCACCUUUAAUGCAGGCUACCACAUGGAGCACCAUGAUUUCCCGAGCAUUCCUGGAUGCAAGCUGCCAAUGGUGAAGAAGAUAGCAGCAGAAUAUUAUGACAACCUUCCUCAGCACCAAUCUUGGGUUCGAGUUCUUUGGGAUUUUGUUUUUGAUGACACCAUUGGUCCUUACUCACGGAUUAAGAGAAUAUGCAAACUAGCAACAGAAAACCAAUAGAUUUGCUUUAGUGUCUUCAUUAAUAUUGUUUAAAAAAAUCCAAAAUUUGAGAACUUGAGUUUUCAGAGCUAAAAAUGAUCUGAAGAAAUAUUUCUAUGCACUUACCUUUUCUGUAGUACUAAAGGUGAUGAAAUAUUGAAGCAAACCACAGGUACUGUCUUUUAGAAUACUGUAACUUUUAUUAAAAGGAUUUUUGCUUAUGUAACAUUGCUCUUUGGCAGGAUAUCACACAUGUAUGUUUAUAGCAGAGGCUACAUAGAUUCACUAUCCUUUGUAUCUUAGUGAAACUUUUACAUUUUAAAUCCAUAUUAAACAUUUUUCCCCCCCUUUUCAUCAG
Molecule: RNA transcript, 1368 nt
Organism: Dermochelys coriacea (leatherback sea turtle)
Lineage: Eukaryota; Metazoa; Chordata; Testudines; Dermochelyidae
Gene: DEGS2
Gene name: delta 4-desaturase, sphingolipid 2
Exons: 3
Source: RefSeq, a predicted model, not a curated record